RNAcentral lists this ribosomal RNA (468 nucleotides) under uncultured bacterium. Its description in RNAcentral is "partial 16S ribosomal RNA". It matches the Rfam family "Bacterial small subunit ribosomal RNA", at positions 28 to 507 of the family's 1533-position model. The record is from RNAcentral.
GACGAACGCUGGCGGCGUGCUUAACACAUGCAAGUCGAACGGAAAGGCCCUGCUUUUGUGUGGUGCUCGAGUGGCGAGCGGGUGAGUAACACGUGAGUAACCUGCCCUUGACUUUGGGAUAACUUCAGGAAACUGGGGCUAAUACCGGCUAGGAGCUCCUGCUGCAUGGUGGGGGUUGGAAAGUUUCGGCGGUUGGGGGUGGACUCGCGGCUUACCAGCUUGUUGGUGGGGUAGUGGCUUACCAAGGCUUUGACGGGUAGCCGGCCUGAGAGGGUGACCGGCCACAUUGGGACUGAGAUACGGCCCAGACGCCAACGGGAGGCAGCAGUGGGGAAUAUUGCACAAUGGGCGGAAGCCUGAGGCAGCAACGCCGCGUGCGGGAUGACGGCCUUCGGGUUGUAAACCGCUGUCGCCUGUGACGAAGCGUGAGUGACGGUAAUGGGUAAAGAAGCACCGGCUAACUACGUG